RNAcentral lists this ribosomal RNA (317 nucleotides) under uncultured soil bacterium. RNAcentral's name for it is "bacterial SSU rRNA". It matches the Rfam family "Bacterial small subunit ribosomal RNA", at positions 26 to 345 of the family's 1533-position model. The record is from RNAcentral.
AGAGUGAACGCUGGCGGUAGGCCUAACACAUGCAAGUCGAACGGCAGCACAGUGGUAGCAAUACCAUGGGUGGCGAGUGGCGGACGGGUGAGGAAUACAUCGGAAUCUACCUUUUCGGUGGGGGAUAACGUAGGGAAACUUACGCUAAUACCGCAUACGCCCUUCGGGGGAAAGCCGGGGAUCGCAAGACCUGGCGCGGAUAGAUGAGCCGAUCGUCGGAUUAGCUAGUUGGUGAGGUAAUGGCUCACCAAGGCGACGAGUCCGUAGCUGGUCUGGAGAGGAUGAUCACGCCACACUAGGAACUGGAAGACGACGGU